GUAGGUGGCAAGCGUUGUCCGGAAUUAUUGGGCGUAAAGCGCGCGCAGGUGGUUCUUUAAGUCUGAUGUGAAAGCCCCCGGGCUCGAACCGGGGAGGGUCAUUGGAAACUGGGGAACUUGAGUGCAGGAGAGGAAAGUGGAAUUCCACGUGUAGCGGUGAAAUGCGUAGAUAUGUGGAGGAACACCAGUGGCGAAGGCGACUUUCUGGCCUGUAACUGACACUGAGGCGCGAAAGCGUGGGGAGCAAACAGGAUUAGAUACCCUGGUAGUCCACGCCGUAAACGAUGAGUGCUAAGUGUUGGGGGGUUUCCGCCCCUCAGUGCUGCAGCUAACGCAUUAAGCACUCCGCCUGGGGAGUACGGUCGCAAAGACUG
Molecule: ribosomal RNA, 374 nt
Filed under: uncultured organism
Description: partial 16S ribosomal RNA
Rfam family: Bacterial small subunit ribosomal RNA
Source: RNAcentral